UGUGAGUGCCCUCCUUGGCCGUUUCCUUCCUAGACUUCGGGCCGCUCCCGAGAGCGGCCUUCUCUUCAUGCGCG
This 74-nucleotide small RNA is filed under the name Methylobacterium sp. 4-46. RNAcentral's name for it is "Makes More Granules Regulator RNA (mmgR)". It matches the Rfam family "Makes More Granules Regulator RNA (mmgR)". Rfam says of the family: SuhB later renamed mmgR (makes more granules regulator) was a putative non-coding RNA found multiple times in the Agrobacterium tumefaciens genome and related alpha-proteobacteria. Other non-coding RNAs uncovered in the same analysis include: speF, ybhL, metA, and serC. Lineage: Bacteria; Pseudomonadati; Pseudomonadota; Alphaproteobacteria; Hyphomicrobiales; Methylobacteriaceae. The record is from Rfam by way of RNAcentral.